ACGAACGCUGGCGGCAUGCCUAACACAUGCAAGUCGAACGAGACCUUCGGGUCUAGUGGCGCACGGGUGCGUAACGCGUGGGAACCUGCCCUUAGGUUCGGAAUAACUCCCCGAAAGGGGUGCUAAUACCGGAUAAUGUCUUCGGACCAAAGAUUUAUCGCCUUUGGAUGGGGCCGCGUUGGAUUAGCUAGUUGGUAGGGUAAAAGCCUACCAAGGCGACGAUCCAUAGCUGGUCUGAGAGGAUGAUCAGCCACACUGGGACUGAGACACGGCCCCGACUACUACGGGAGGGAGGAGGGGGGGAUAAUGGAACAAUGGCGGAAGGCUGAUCCAGCAAUGCCGGGUGAGUUAAGCAGGCCUUAGGGUUGUAAAGCUCUUUUACCCGGGAUGAUAAUGACAGUACCGGGAGAAUAAGCGCCGGCUAACUCCGUG
This 432-nucleotide ribosomal RNA is filed under the name uncultured bacterium. RNAcentral's name for it is "partial 16S ribosomal RNA". It matches the Rfam family "Bacterial small subunit ribosomal RNA", at positions 29 to 507 of the family's 1533-position model. The record is from RNAcentral.